CCUACGGGUGGCUGCAGUGGGGAAUCUUGCGCAAUGGCCGAAAGGCUGACGCAGCGACGCCGCGUGCGGGAUGAAGGCCUUCGGGUCGUAAACCGCUGUUGCCCGGGACGAACAAGCACUUUCGAGUGCUCUGACGGUACCGGGUGAGGAAGCACCGGCUAACUCCGUGCCAGCAGCCGCGGUAAUACGGAGGGUGCGAGCGUUGUCCGGAAUCACUGGGCGUAAAGGGCGCGUAGGCGGUGGCCUAAGCGUGUGGUGAAAGCCUGGGGCUCAAC
This 275-nucleotide ribosomal RNA is filed under the name uncultured Gemmatimonas sp. Its description in RNAcentral is "partial 16S ribosomal RNA". It matches the Rfam family "Bacterial small subunit ribosomal RNA", at positions 338 to 613 of the family's 1533-position model. The record is from RNAcentral. Lineage: Bacteria; Pseudomonadati; Gemmatimonadota; Gemmatimonadia; Gemmatimonadales; Gemmatimonadaceae.